Molecule: ribosomal RNA, 540 nt
Filed under: Aspergillus niger
Lineage: Eukaryota; Fungi; Ascomycota; Eurotiomycetes; Eurotiales; Aspergillaceae
Description: eukaryotic LSU rRNA
Rfam family: 5.8S ribosomal RNA (bases 165-318)
Source: RNAcentral
CCACCUCCCAUCCGUGUCUAUUGUACCCUGUUGCUUCGGCGGGCCCGCCGCUUGUCGGCCGCCGGGGGGGCGCCUCUGCCCCCCGGGCCCGUGCCCGCCGGAGACCCCAACACGAACACUGUCUGAAAGCGUGCAGUCUGAGUUGAUUGAAUGCAAUCAGUUAAAACUUUCAACAAUGGAUCUCUUGGUUCCGGCAUCGAUGAAGAACGCAGCGAAAUGCGAUAACUAAUGUGAAUUGCAGAAUUCAGUGAAUCAUCGAGUCUUUGAACGCACAUUGCGCCCCCUGGUAUUCCGGGGGGCAUGCCUGUCCGAGCGUCAUUGCUGCCCUCAAGCCCGGCUUGUGUGUUGGGUCGCCGUCCCCCUCUCCGGGGGGACGGGCCCGAAAGGCAGCGGCGGCACCGCGUCCGAUCCUCGAGCGUAUGGGGCUUUGUCACAUGCUCUGUAGGAUUGGCCGGCGCCUGCCGACGUUUUCCAACCAUUCUUUCCAGGUUGACCUCGGAUCAGGUAGGGAUACCCGCUGAACUUAAGCAUAUCAAUAAG